Long non-coding RNA from Xiphophorus couchianus (Monterrey platyfish), 1261 nucleotides. RefSeq lists it as uncharacterized. Lineage: Eukaryota; Metazoa; Chordata; Actinopteri; Cyprinodontiformes; Poeciliidae. The transcript is spliced from 2 exons. The record is from RefSeq and is a predicted model, not a curated record.
GACAAAUAGCUAAGAAAAGGUCGAUUUUACAUAAUAGUGCUCCUUCACAGCAUACCUUUACUGUUGUUUGGCAUUUUCGGUUACUUGGUAAAAUGUUGUUAAUGUAUAUUUGCAAAGUUUUAAACUUCUCACAUAACACUGUUCAGUCCGUUUGCUCAAAAUGGGACGAGAGUAAACUACAACCUUACCAACAUAGGCUGGCAGAGCAUUAAUCAGGGUAACAACCAAGAUCUCCAGGGUAACUCUGGAGGAGCUGCAGAGACUAACAAUUCAGGUGGAAGAAUCCAUCAACUGAGCAACCUGAAGCAGGUCACACAACUUUUACUUCUGCAGCCAGUUCACUUACACCAGUUAAACUCUAAAUGUCCAGCCUUGCGGUUUCAUUCAGCAAACGUUGAGGUUUUUCUUUCCAAGUAAAUUAUUAACACACUGAGAAAUAAUUAGCAAAUCCCUACGGUUGCCGUCGUAGAUACGAAAUUUACCGAAUUCUGCAGCGCCGGUAGCAACACAAGUCGCAUCAUGUCAUCAAUCCGCGUGUGUGAUUCCGGGAUGCUUGUGUGUAGCUCUUAAAUGUUUGCUGAAUCCUACAGAAUGAAUCACCACUCCUCCAGUGAAGCCAGUGUACCUUUCGCAUGCUUCCUCCUUGCAGCAGAAUGCAGGUGCCAGUCUGGCCAGCACAAGUAAAAGUGAGCAAAGGGAAGGAUCCUCUCCUGUGAUUGUCUCUGUCUGUCUACGCAAUAGAUGUGUUUCCAUUAUAAAAGUGCUCAAAUCUUUGCCUAUGUUCUCCUAAUGUCAGAAAAACUCAAUUUUGCAACUGCAGCGUUUCCACCUUAUUUCCAAUAAGAAAUCAAAUUUAAAUCACAAGUGAAUAAGUUUGCUCGUGCGAUAAGUCAUUAAAAAUCAUGAAUGAAAACAGUUGGUUGAAAUAUAUUAAUAAUUCAGUCAUGACGUCUCAUUGUCUAUCAACCAAUCAGAGGAAACGUUGAUGUCUUGGAAGAACAAGCCCCGCCUCCUUUGGAGCGGCUUCAUAUUUGGUGUUUUGGGCAAAUUUUAGUCGGACAUUUUACAGUUAUAGAUUCAACAUGUUGGAAUGACACACAGCUUUUUCUGAACUGUGACGCUGUGAGGUCUCUGGUGGAGCCAGCUGCACACGACCUGACAAAAACAAAAACAAACCAUCAUCCUAAUGCCACUUCCUGCCAUUUUCUUCGCUGUUUCUGCCAGUAGUGACAUCCGCCUGUUGAUCACGUGACUCCUCUGA